Molecule: ribosomal RNA, 416 nt
Filed under: uncultured bacterium
Lineage: Bacteria
Description: bacterial SSU rRNA
Rfam family: Bacterial small subunit ribosomal RNA
Source: RNAcentral
UGGGGAAUCUUGCGCAAUGGCCGAAAGGCUGACGCAGCGACGCCGCGUGGAGGAUGACGCCCUUCGGGGUGUAAACUCCUGUUGCCCGGGACGAAUGCCCCUUUUGAGGGGAGUGACGGUACCGGGUGAGGAAGCACCGGCUAACUCUGUGCCAGCAGCCGCGGUAAGACAGAGGGGGCAAGCGUUGUCCGGAAUCACUGGGCGUAAAGCGCGCGUAGGUGGCAUGGUACGUGUGGUGUGAAAGCGGACGGCUUAACCGUCCGAGGCCAUCACAGACUACCGAGCUCGAGCCGUUCAGAGGUCAGCGGAAUUGCCGGUGUAGGAGUGAAAUCCGUAGAUACCGGCAGGAACACCCACGGGGAAGCCAGCUGACUGGGAACGUGCUGACACUGAGGCGCGAUAGCGUGGGGAGCGAA